This 460-nucleotide ribosomal RNA is filed under the name uncultured bacterium. RNAcentral describes it as "partial 16S ribosomal RNA". It matches the Rfam family "Bacterial small subunit ribosomal RNA", at positions 338 to 795 of the family's 1533-position model. The record is from RNAcentral.
CCUACGGGUGGCAGCAGUGAGGAAUAUUGGUCAAUGGGCGGAAGCCUGAACCAGCCAAGUCGCGUGAGGGAUUAAGGCCCUGCGGGUCGUAAACCUCUUUUGCCGGGGAGCAGAGGUCCGGACGUGUCCGGGCCGGGAGAGUACCCGGAGAAAAAGCAUCGGCUAACUCCGUGCCAGCAGCCGCGGUAAUACGGAGGAUGCGAGCGUUAUCUGGAUUUAUUGGGUUUAAAGGGUGCGUAGGCGGGCUGUUAAGCCGGCGGUAAAAAUUCAGGGCUCAACCCUGUCGAGCCGUCGGAACUGGCAGUCUUGAGUGGGCGAGAAGUAUGCGGAAUGCGUGGUGUAGCGGUGAAAUGCAUAGAUAUCACGCAGAACGCCGAUUGCGAAGGCAGCAUACCGGCGCCCGACUGACGCUGAGGCACGAAAGCGUGGGGAUCGAACAGGAUUAGAUACCCUUGUAGUC